GGCUGUUUGCACGCCCUCCGUUGCUCCGCCGACCCAGUGCUUCUGAUAAAUGGCACAAGCUGCUGUUAAUGAGCUUUUCUGCUAAUUAAGCAGAAGAGCCACGGCGGGCACAGCUGGAGGUGUGGAUAACGCCCAGCGGCUGGCCGUGCCGCCAGGCCCCAUCCCAUGGUGUCGGCCGGGCAGCGCCUGCUGAAUGUGCCUGCCUCCAAGCGUUUAUCUACAUUUUCUUUUUUUUUCCUCCUUUUUCUUUUUAUCUACAUUUUCUUUUUACUUUUUUUUUUCUCCUUUUUUCUCCAUUUUCUUUUUUCUCCUUUUUCUUUUUUUCUUCUUUUUUCUCCUUUUUCGUCAUUUUCUUUUUUCUCCUAUUUUUCUUUCCAUUUCCUUUUCUCUCCUUUUUUUCUCCUUAUUUCCCCCUUUCUUUUCUCCUUUUUUUCUUCUCCAUUUUCUUUUUUUCUCCUUUUUUUUUCAAUUUUUUUUCUCCAUUUCUUUUUUUCUCCUUUUUUUCACCAUUUCUUUUUUUUCUCCUUUUUUCCUCCAUUUCUUUUUUUUUCUCCUUUUUUCCUCCAUUUCUUUUUUUCUCCUUUUUUCCUCCAUUUCUUUUUUUUCUCCUUUUCUCUCCCCUUUUCUCCAUUUCUUUUUUUUCUCCUUUUCUCUCCCCUUUUCUCCAUUUCUUUUUUUUUCUCCUUUUCUCUCCCCUUUUCUCCAUUUCUUUUUUUUUCUCCUUUUUUUCUCCAUUUCUUUUUUUCCCUUUUUUUUCUCCAUUUCUUUUUUUCUCCUUUUUUCUCCAUUUUCUUUCUCCUUUUUUUUUUCCAUUUUCUUUUCUCCUUUUUUUCUCCAUUUUCCUUUAUUUUCUCCUUUUUUCCCCUUCCCAUUUUUCCCCCUUCCCUUUCUUUAUUCCACCGUUAAUCCCUUUAAUUUCCUUAUCAUUAUUCUUUUAACCCUUUCCCAACCGGCACCGCCUCCCGGCCCGAGCAGCGCGGGGGGCGUGGCCUGAACCCGCAGGGGGCGUGGCCAACCGAAAGGGGGCGUGGCCACCAGAAGGGGCGUGGCCACACGCGCCUCACCCUCCGCCCCCACCCACCGCAGCCGCG
This 1091-nucleotide long non-coding RNA is filed under the name Anas platyrhynchos platyrhynchos (common mallard). RNAcentral describes it as "lncRNA (ENSAPLG00000028943.1)". The record is from RNAcentral. Lineage: Eukaryota; Metazoa; Chordata; Aves; Anseriformes; Anatidae.